UCGAGGGGCAGCGGGGGAGUAGCAAUACUCCCGCCGGCGACCGGCGCACGUGUGAGUAACACGUAUGAAACCUGCCCGUAGCAGGGGGAUAAGCGGAAGAAAUUCCGUCUAAUACCGCGUAACAACCCAUGGAGGCAUCUCCGUGGGUUUAAAGGAAGCGAUUCCGGCUACGGAUGGUCAUGCGUCGCAUUAGCUUGUUGGCGGUGUAACGGACCACCAAGACGACGAUGCGUAGGGGUUCUGAGAGGAAGGUCCCCCACACUGGUACUGAGACACGGACCAGACUCCUACGGGAGGCAGCAGUGAGGAAUAUUGGUCAAUGGCCGAGAGGCUGAACCAGCCAAGUCGCGUGAGGGAAGAAUGUCCUAUGGAUUGUAAACCUCUUUUGUCAGGGAGCAAAGUCACCCACGUGUGGGUGUUGGAGAGUACCUGAAGAAAAAGCAUCGGCUAACUCCGUGCCAGCAGCCGCGGUAAUACGGAGGAUGCGAGCGUUAUCCGGAUUUAUUGGGUUUAAAGGGUGCGUAGGCGGGUUAUCAAGUCAGCGGUAAAAUCGUGGAGCUCAACUCCAUCCAGCCGUUGAAACUGAUGAUCUUGAGUGGGCGAGAAGUAUGCGGAAUGCGUGGUGUAGCGGUGAAAUGCAUAGAUAUCACGCAGAACUCCGAUUGCGAAGGCAGCAUACCGGCGCCCGACUGACGCUGAAGCACGAAAGCGUGGGUAUCGAACAGGAUUAGAUACCCUGGUAGUCCACGCAGUAAACGAUGAAUACUAAUUGUGUGCUCCGAAUGAGGAGUGCGUGAUACAGCGAAAGCGUUAAGUAUUC
This 820-nucleotide ribosomal RNA is filed under the name uncultured bacterium. Its description in RNAcentral is "bacterial SSU rRNA". It matches the Rfam family "Bacterial small subunit ribosomal RNA", at positions 62 to 869 of the family's 1533-position model. The record is from RNAcentral.